GCUUCUUUAUUUUACAUCUAAAUUCUUUGAACUAUUCAAAAAUUUUAGAUUUAUAUCUCAUAUACUUACCCAUACCAUGAUUGAUCAUCGGUAAAGGCAACGAAGUAGAAACAACUUCCUUUGUUAGCACAUCACAUGAGCUACACACAUCAAAUGUGUACUAGGAUAAGUAUCUCAAUGAUCCUUUUUUUCUUGUUCUACAAGAGUAGCUUGGUCAUAUUUUCUCAAAGAGAUGAUGCACAAACUAAAUAUAACUC
RNAcentral lists this long non-coding RNA (257 nucleotides) under Elaeis guineensis (African oil palm). Its description in RNAcentral is "long non-coding RNA (EGUI_LNC048860)". The record is from RNAcentral. Lineage: Eukaryota; Viridiplantae; Streptophyta; Magnoliopsida; Arecales; Arecaceae.